This 24-nucleotide non-coding RNA is filed under the name Arabidopsis thaliana (thale cress). The record is from RNAcentral. Lineage: Eukaryota; Viridiplantae; Streptophyta; Magnoliopsida; Brassicales; Brassicaceae.
UGGAUCGUUUUUUCAGUUAGGAUC